RNAcentral lists this small nucleolar RNA (248 nucleotides) under Lachancea lanzarotensis. RNAcentral's name for it is "Small nucleolar RNA snR80". It matches the Rfam family "Small nucleolar RNA snR80". Lineage: Eukaryota; Fungi; Ascomycota; Saccharomycetes; Saccharomycetales; Saccharomycetaceae. The record is from Rfam by way of RNAcentral.
CUACGUUUGUCUACACUCUGGAUCUCAGCCAGAGUCUGGUGUUUUGUUCGCAUGUGGGAAGCUUCCGCAAGUACACAUGGGGACGAUAUUCGCAUCAGACUCUAUUAUUCUUCUGUGUUGAGCUCCAAUUUUAAUAGCAAACAAAAUCAACCGUGUCAACUACUCACCAAGAUACAUCUCAUCGAACGUUCGAUUUCAAAAUCUUUCGCUCAUAAUGAUUAUAUUGGUCCAUUUUCACUGACACACAU